UUCCUGGUGGUCCAGUGGUUAAGACUCUACACUUUCAAUGCAGAGGGCACAGGUUCCAUCCCUGAUCAGGGAA
RNAcentral lists this transfer RNA (73 nucleotides) under Bos taurus (domestic cattle). It matches the Rfam family "tRNA". From Rfam's summary of the family: Transfer RNA (tRNA) molecules are approximately 80 nucleotides in length. Their secondary structure includes four short double-helical elements and three loops (D, anti-codon, and T loops). Further hydrogen bonds mediate the characteristic L-shaped molecular structure. tRNAs have two regions of fundamental functional importance: the anti-codon, which is responsible for specific mRNA codon recognition, and the 3' end, to which the tRNAs corresponding amino acid is attached (by aminoacyl-tRNA synthetases). tRNAs cope with the degeneracy of the genetic code in two manners: having more than one tRNA (with a specific anti-codon) for a particular amino acid; and 'wobble' base-pairing, i.e. permitting non-standard base-pairing at the 3rd anti-codon position. The record is from Rfam by way of RNAcentral. RNAcentral also lists the same sequence under 1 other name. Lineage: Eukaryota; Metazoa; Chordata; Mammalia; Artiodactyla; Bovidae.